CCUACGGGUUGCAGCAGUGGGGAAUAUUGCACAAUGGGCGCAAGCCUGAUGCAGCCAUGCCGCGUGUGUGAAGAAGGCCUUCGGGUUGUAAAGUACUUUCAGCGGGGAGGAAGGGAGUAAAGUUAAUACCUUUGCUCAUUGACGUUACCCGCAGAAGAAGCACCGGCUAACUCCGUGCCAGCAGCCGCGGUAAUACGGAGGGUGCAAGCGUUAAUCGGAAUUACUGGGCGUAAAGCGCACGCAGGCGGUUUGUUAAGUCAGAUGUGAAAUCCCCGGGCUCAACCUGGGAACUGCAUCUGAUACUGGCAGGCUAGAGUCUUGUAGAGGGGGGUAGAAUUCCAGGUGUAGCGGUGAAAUGCGUAGAGAUCUGGAGGGAUACCGGUGGCGAAGGCGGCCCCCUGGACAAAGACUGACGCUCAGGUGCGAAAGCGUGGGGAGCAAACAGGAUUAGAUACCCUAGUAGUC
RNAcentral lists this ribosomal RNA (465 nucleotides) under uncultured bacterium. RNAcentral describes it as "bacterial SSU rRNA". It matches the Rfam family "Bacterial small subunit ribosomal RNA", at positions 338 to 795 of the family's 1533-position model. The record is from RNAcentral.